Molecule: ribosomal RNA, 411 nt
Filed under: uncultured bacterium
Lineage: Bacteria
Description: bacterial SSU rRNA
Rfam family: Bacterial small subunit ribosomal RNA
Source: RNAcentral
AAUGGGGGCAACCCUGACGCAGCGACGCCGCGUGGAUGAUGAAGGCCUUUGGGUCGUAAAAUCCUGUCAGGUGGAAAGAAACGUAUGGCAGCUAAUAUCUGUCGUAUUUGACGGUACCACCAAAGGAAGCACCGGCUAACUCCGUGCCAGCAGCCGCGGUAAUACGGAGGGUGCAAGCGUUGUUCGGAAUUACUGGGCGUAAAGCGCGCGCAGGCGGUUUGUUAAGUCAGAUGUGAAAGCCCUCGGCUUAACCGGGGACGUGCAUUUGAAACUGGCAGGCUUGAGUACUGGAGGGGGUGGUGGAAUUCCCGGUGUAGAGGUGAAAUUCGUAGAUAUCGGGAGGAAUACCGGUGGCGAAGGCGACCACCUGGCCAGAUACUGACGCUGAGGCGCGAAAGCGUGGGGAGCAAA